Molecule: ribosomal RNA, 253 nt
Filed under: uncultured bacterium
Lineage: Bacteria
Description: partial 16S ribosomal RNA
Rfam family: Bacterial small subunit ribosomal RNA
Source: RNAcentral
UACAGAGGGUGCGAGCGUUAAUCGGAAUUACUGGGCGUAAAGCGCACGUAGGCGGCUUGGCAAGUCGGAUGUGAAAUCCCUCGGCUCAACCAAGGAAGUGCAUCCGAAACUGCCGAGCUUGAGUACUUAAGAGGAUCGCGGAAUUCCCGGUGUAGAGGUGAAAUUCGUAGAUAUCGGGAGGAACAUCAGUGGCGAAGGCGGCGAUCUGGGAAGUUACUGACGCUGAGGUGCGAAAGCGUGGGGAGCAAACAGG